CGGGAUCGCGCUAGGUGUUGCUCGAGGACUUGAGUACUUGCACCAUGGCUGCAAAACAAGGAUUGUGCAUUUUGACAUCAAACCUCAAAAUGUACUGUUAGAUGAAAAUCUUUGCCCAAAAGUGUCGGACUUUGGUCUUGCUAAGCUAUGUGAGAAAAGAGCAAGCAUCUUGUCAUUGCUAGACACAAGAGGAACAAUCGGCUAUAUCACACCAGAGGUGUUUUCAAGAAUGUAUGGAAGAGUCUCCCACAAAUCAGAUGUUUAUAGCUAUGGAAUGUUGGUCCUCUAAAUGAUCGGAGAAAGGAACAAAGAAACAGAAGAAACCGUUGCUUCUAACUCAAGUUCAUCUUACUUUCCAAAUUGGAUCUAUAAGGAUCUUGAAAAUGGAAAGCAUACAUGGAAAUUUGGUGAUGAGAUAACUAGAGAGGAGAAAGAGAUUGCAAAGAAGAUGACCUUGGUGGGUUUCUGGUGUAUUCAGCCAAGUCCAUCAAAUCGUCCACCGAUGAACCGGGUUGUUGAGAUGAUGGAAGGAAGUUUGGAUGCUCUUGAAGUUCCUCCUAAGCCUUCUUUACAAUUUUCUACAGAGCAUCUUCCGGAAUCUUCCUCGCUCUCAGAAGAGAAUUCAAACUACUCUGAGGUAUUUAUAGGAUCCACAAGUUGAAAAUCAUUUUCGAUACUUCAUCAUAUACUUGGUGUAAAACCACUCAAGAAAAAAUUAAUUUAAGAAAUGAUUUUGUAUGUUUAAAAUCUAAAAUGUUUAGAAGUAUAUCGUUUUUUUUUGUAUAAAAAAUGAUGUUUAGAAGUAUCUCGUCUUUAUGUGAUGAAUAUUGAAGAGAAAAGUCUUCUAAUGUCAACGAAACAGAGACAAAUGACGAAACAGAGACAAAUGAUUAAACUCUCACCAAGUCUUUUAUUCAUGGUUUAUCCUUCAUUGCUUAUCUGCUCAGCCCAAGCCAAACCCAUCGAAGAUUAAACUAUUCACAGAUCAAUAAUGUUCUCUCCAUUACUCUUCAGAUUCCGAAAACCCAACCCUUGUCAGUAAUGGUCCCUCUUCAGAAGCCAAGAGAAUUCUAGUUCUUAGAAUUGAUAAACGAUUGUUUGGUGGUAGUUAAGACUACCUAUUGUUUUGUUUUUCAUUGAUAUAAAUACUUGGAGUACACCUCCUUACCACUGGAAAUUACAAACUGAAACAAACGUGGAGUUACAACUCCUACAAACGUGGAAACGAUAGGAAAUGGAAUCGUGGAAGAUCCCUACUUAUUGAAACUGAACUGAAACAAAGACUAAGUCAAUUGACUUAGUGUUGGACCUACUGGACAUACUUCGGAUUGGGCCUGCGAUUCCUCAUGGGCCUUCUCCUUUCUCCUUCUUCUCUUCCGCUCUCAUCAGUCUGGUCCUUCUCUUCUUAUCCUAUAUUCACUUUCUUGCUUGUGCUCUAAGUCAACGAGAACAUAUAUGUGAUACUCUGUUUCGUUGUGGGAAUCUCACCGCCGGUUUCCCUUUCUGGGGAGAGUCCCGACCAGAACCUUGUGGUCAUCCUUCUUUGGUGCUUCAAUGUCACCAGAACAAGACUGCCCUAAUUAUCUCAGGUCAGAUGUACCGUGUUCUCCAAAUAGACAAAACAUCUAACCGUCUUAGACUUGCGAGGGACGACUUCUUAAGUGAAUCAUUCUGCUCUGCUACUUUCACCAGCACAACGGUGACUCCUGAGCUCUUUGAGCUUUUGCCAGACUACACGAACCUCUAUGUUUACUAUGGUUGUAACGCUUGUUUUCAAGAUCCCGUGAAUUUCACAUGUCCAAAACUUGGUGUUGCCUCGGUGCAUCGGGAUAAUAACUAUCAUGAAAACUGUGGUGCGAGUUUCAAAAUCAUUGUUCCCACGAGUUAUGUUCCAGAAGGGGAAUCUUUGAAUGUAACCAAUUUGCAAAAUGUUAUUAAAGAAGGAUUUGAGGUGAAGCUGAGGAUUGCUGAGAGGCCGUGUCAAGAAUGUAAAUCCAGUGGUGGAAUCUGCGCCUACCGCGUUGCAACUCCAGUUUGCUGCAAGGCAGCAAACUCGUCAUCAGAACCCAUAUGCACCCCAAUGAUUCCAUCUGGUAAGUUUCUGAACUCUCAGCAAGUUUCUUAAUUAGGAUUAAUAUUGCCUACUUUCACUUAUCUAGUUUUAAAUAUUUUAUUAUUUACCAGGUGUCAAUAGCUUAACUAGUAAACUAUCUCCAGCAAAGCCUAGAUGUUGCUAGUUCGAAUUGCACGUAAUGCUUUGGUUUCUGGCCUAAGAAAAUGUAGAGGCCUAGCCCCGAAACCUUUUCGUUAUUCGAAAAUAUAUAUAUACUAUAACAUCAAAUAAUCAAAUAUUAAGAAACACAUUAUAAGUCUUCUUUUGGCUUGACAAUAAUAUGGCUUAUCUUUGUGAUUCUCUCCCUUGUGUUUUAUCAGUUUAUGAGCACUGCAGUCCUACGUUUAGAUGUGGCAAGCAGACAGAUCUCUAUUACCCCUUUUGGAAACCUGAUAGAGAAGAGUGUGGUCAUCCGGAAUUCAAGGUCAACUGCAGCGUAGAUUUCGCAGAGUUUACUAUAUCUUAUAUUAAGUUUCAAAUCCUUGAAAUGAACCACGACUCUCGUAUCAUAAGACUUGCUAGAAUGGAUUAUCUCAACAAUCUUUGUCCACAAGACCCUGAGAGCGCUUUAAUCAACCAACAAGUCCUUUAAUUUUCUAACGACACUGAAUUGCUAACUUUUUUCUACGAAUGCCCUAGUCCAAGGGUGGAUUUUCCACCUGGCGAUUACAUUAGACAGCUUCAAUGUGGGGAUACUACUGAUGAGCAAAGUUACUUUGUGAGAAAAGAGCACUCAUCUUCAUAUGAGUUGGUUGGAGCCAUCUCAAAUGAGCUAAGGUCCUCUUGCAAAAGAACCAUCGAUAUUCCAGUUUCUCGAUCUGCCUUGAGUAGUAGUGUUAAAACGGGCUACCCGGCCCGUUGAAGCCCGAACCCGUUUAGACCCGAGCCCGUUUAACGAAAUAUUUUGAAGCCCGUUUAGUCGCCUACCCGUUUAAGCCCGUUCAAGGCCCUUGAGGGAAACAGAGAGAAAUCAGAGUCUGGAGACUUUAAAGAAGGCUCUUGAUAAGGGUUUCAAGCUUAGAUUCAACAAUGACUGUUCGCGGUGCCUAACAUCAGGGGGUACUUGUGGAUAUAGUCUACUCUCGAGAAAAUUUGUUUGCUAUUGUAUAGAUGAGACGACUCAUACGCAUACUUGUGGAAAGAAAGGUAAUGGCUCAUUUUUCUCUGUUUUAACUGAUUAUGUUUAGAUUGGUUUCUUGAAACUGAUUUUCUAAUGUUCUUCCAAAAGAACUUAUUUUCUCCAUUUCCUCAGCCACUCCAUAUUCCUAUGCAUGUCAGUUUCAAGCUAAUUUGCUUAAUUCAAGUACGAUUCUAUGUUCUGUCUUGCUUUUGAACUGACCUUUUUUCAUGGUAUUCAUUCAUGCAGAUAUCUCCAGUACAGAUAUAGGUAUAUAUAUUUGUCCUAUUACUUGCCAGGAAACUAAUUGAAGUAGAAGAUACAUACCUAACUAAAAACAUAUUUAUCCCACACAACUCUUGUCUUUUUGUUUGUCACUAGGCAUUGGAUUGGCUUGUGGAAUCUUAGGUGUCACUCUUGUUGCCGGAUGUUUGCGGUUCAUGAUCCAAAAAAGGGGAAGUUCACAACAUCUAAAAGACCAUAAUCUAAAGGCGCUACUACAACUGAAACAGUACAGUUAUGCAGAAGUGAAGAAAAUUACAAAAUCAUUUUCGCAUAUGGUUGGGAAAGGAGGAUUUGGAACUGUUUAUGGAGGAAACCUUUGCAAUGGUCGUAAGGUUGCGGUGAAAAUUUUGAAGGAUUUUAAGAGCAAUGGUGAAGACUUCAUCAAUGAAGUCACAAGCAUGAGCCAAACGUUCAUGUUAACAUUGUUUCUUUGCUUGGUUUCUGCUAUGAAGGGUCCAAAAGAGCGAUUGUGUAUGAGUUUUUAGAGAAUGGGUCUCUCGAACAGUUCAUCUCUAAAGAUAAGCCAAUGAAUUUGGAUGUGAGUACUCUCUACAAAAUCGCGCAAGCUGUUGCUCGAGGACUUGAGUACUUACACCAUGGCUGCAAAACAAGGAUUGUACAUUUUGACAUCAAACCUCAGAAUAUACUUUUAGAUGACACAUUCUGCCCUAAAGUCUCGGACUUUGGCCUCGCUAAGCUCUGCGAGAAAAGAGAGAGCAUAUUGUCUUUGCUAGAUGCAAGAGGAACAAUAGGUUACAUUGCACCUGAGGUGUUCUCAGGAUUGUACGGCAAAAUCUCCCACAAAUCAGAUGUUUAUAGUUAUGGAAUGUUGGUCCUCGAGAUAAUCGGAGCAAAGAACAAAGAAACAGAUAAAACCGUUGCUUCUAACUCAAGUUCAACUUACUUUCCCGAUUGGAUCUACAAAGAUCUUGAAAAUGGAGACCAUACAUGGAAAUUUGGUGAUGAGAUAACUAGAGAGGAGAAAGAGAUUGCAAAGAAGAUGGCCUUGGUGGGUCUCUGGUGUAUUCAGCCAUGUCCUUUAAAUCGUCCACCGAUGAACAGAGUUGUUGAGAUGAUGGAAGGAAGUUUGGAUGCUCUUGAAGUCCCUCCUAAGCCUUCUUUACAUUUAUCAGCGGAGCCUCUUCCAGAAUCUUCUUCAGUUUCAGAAGAGACUUCAAAAUACUCGGAGGUAUUGAUAAAAUCCACAAGUUGAAAAUCUAUUUCUCAAACUUCAUCAUAUAAUUGGUGUAAUUAUGCAUGUGAAAUUAAUUGAAGACAAGAUUUUGUAUGUUUAUAAUCUAAAAUGUUUCAAAGUAUAUCUUUUUUUUUUCAUAUGUGAUGCAUAUACGCGUUACAAAACUUUCCCUUAUACUACUUGAAUAUCUGAAAAAGUGAAAUUUUUAGACUCGUUAACUUAUCCCAAAGUAAUAUUUUCGACUGGGUUAUGAUUUUGUUCAUGCAAUUUUUGGCUGCAUAAAUUGUCUUGUGCUUUUUUCUUCUUUUGACAUGAUGCAAGUAAUUAGAUAUCUUACAUUUCCCCCAACAUUUUUGAUAUCUACGAAUAGAAUGGAAAUAUUAUGAUAUUUGAUACCUUCGUUGUGGUCUAUUAGACUAUUAUACUUGUAUAUCCACAUGAUAUUUUGGGCCAGUCAAGGGCUUAGAUUUGAGUAAACUUUGAAGAGAGCGUUUGAUUUGUCAUAAAAACUGGAAAACAAAUCUUGUUAGAGAUGUGUUUAGUUUAGAAAAUAUAAAUCAUGGUCCUCCAAUUCAACAUCAAUGAACAAUGCGUUAUUGACAUGGUCGGGUCUAAAGACUUAGUAAACCGUAAGCUACGAGAUACUCUUUACGUGAAAUAUCAAAAUAUUGGAGUUGAGGUUUAUAAAUGAAUCUUUCUUAUACGUUAAAUAAAAAAAGAACAGGAGACUUGGAGAAAUUAAAGGACCAAGUCAAGAAUGAAAGCGACAGAAACAUAAAGAGUUAAACUCAAAAUAUAUAAUUUACCUUUUAAGAUACUAAGUUUUAGCAGAAUUUCAAUCCAAAUAUUUACUUGGUUGAUAUUACAGAGCUUAUAUCUUUCUUGUUACAAGAAGUACAAGUUUAUCUCUUUGCAUCUAAUCGAAAUUUAAUUUUAACAACUAACAUCAAACUUGACAAAACAUUCAGACUGAUUGGUUACGGGCUUCCAAAAACUCCUUGUCGAGGAAUCUUGUGUAGGGUCAAUGGAAACUAGUCCUAAUAAUGCUGAAGACGUUUCUACUUCUUGACUUCAUUUCCUUUAAUUUUGUAGAUUUUUCUUUAUAAUUUUGCCAUUCUUAUCGAUUUCACCGAGCGUACAAAUGAAAAUAAACUAUCAAAAAGUGAUGAAUUCUCCAGCAUUAUUAGGGUUUGGUUUGGUGAUAUAUGUCAUAUUUCUGUUCCACAACCUUCCUUGUACUCUAAGCAACCCAGCUCUCUUGUCAUGUGACUCUGUGUUCGACUGUGGAAACAUCACAGCAAGCUUCCCUUUCUGGGGCGAGAAUCGUGGCGAACCUUGUGGUCAUCCAUCUCUGAAGCUUAGCUGCGACCGAGUUUCAAACGAAACCUAUUUAAAUAUCUCCCAAAUCUUGUUCAACGUCCUUCACUUAGACCCCACAUUCAACACUCUUAAACUUGUCAGAGAAGACUAUUCUCGUUCCUUAUGCUCUGUUCGAUCAUUCACACAAACGGAGUUUUCCCCUAAACUCUUUGAGCAAUCACCAGAUUACAAGAACCUCAUCGUUUUCUCCAACUGCAACCCUCACUUUCUUUACCUCCAGAAUUUUACGUGUUCAGGGGGAGGGAUAGGUUCCGUGUAUCAAAAUGAAACAUACUACGGCACUUGUCGAACGAUUUUUAAUGUUACCGUUCCUGUUAAUUUUGUACCUGACAAAGAAGCUUGGAAUUUGGAAAGUGUCUUGAGAGAAGGAUUCGAAGUGAAGCUGAAGAUCAAUGAGAGAUCAUGUAAAAAAUGUUUAAAAUCCGGUGGAUUUUGCAGUUUCGAUAAGUCUGCAACUCAGUUUUGCUGCAAGGAGGACUUUUCUUUUUAUCCAAAUAGAAUAAAAGAGUUUUCCGGUGCGUUACUUGGAAUCAAAUGCACUGAAACCAGUUCUUCUGAUCAUGUUGAAGUCCCAUCUUUGGCCGGAACCGGAACUGCUUCAGGUAGCUUUGGGUUUGUCUUGACGGGUUCUCGAGGUUAGUUUCCUAGCAAGAGAGAUUUUGUUUUGUUUUUGUUUUUUUUUAUUAUUUGAUCAUUCAUGUUAAUAUUUAUUUAACAAUAAUAAAUUGAUUUGCAGCGAUAGUACUUGUUAUAUGUAUGGGAUGUUUGAUUUUGUCAAUGCUCAUAUACUUUCUGAACAAGAUAGAAGCAUUACAAUAUCCAAGAAUUGAGAGUUUUGAGGAACUCGUACCACUGAAGAGGUAUAGCUAUGGAGAAGUGAAGGAAAUCACAAACUCGUUUUCCCAAGAAAUUGGGAGAGGAGGAUUUGGAAUUGUCUAUGGAGGAAACCUCUCUGACGGCCUCAAGGUUGCAGUGAAGGUCUUGAAAGAUUCCAAGAAAAAUGGUGAAGAUUUCAUUAACGAAGUGGCGAGUAUGAGUAGAACAUCUUAUGUUCAUAUUGUUUCUCUGCUUGGUUUUUGCUACGAAGGAUCCAAAAGAGCGAUUAUAUAUGAAUAUGUGGAGAAUGGGUCACUCGAUAAGUUCAUAUCGAGCGAGGCCUCAUUGCGGAUUGAUUUGAGAAAACUUUAUGAGAUAGCACUUGGUGUUGCACGAGGCCUUCAGUAUUUACACUAUGCUUGCAAGACAAGGAUCGUCCAUUUCGACAUAAAACCACAGAACAUACUGUUGGGAAAAGAUUUUUGUCCAAAGAUUUCUGAUUUUGGACUUGCCAAGCUUUGUGGGAGUAAAGAAAGUGUCUUAUGGAUGUCAGAGACGAGAGGGACAAUCGGGUACAUCGCACCAGAAGUGUUUUCAAGAAUGUAUGGUAAAGUCUCUCACAAAUCAGAUGUGUAUAGUUACGGAAUGUUGGUUCUUGAGAUGAUAGGAGCAAGAAAGAGGAACUCUGUAUCCAACAACAACAGCAGUUCAAGGUAUUUCCCAGAUUGGAUCUACAAGGGUCUUGAACAGGGCGAUAGUAAAAGGCUUCUCGGGGAUCAAAUAACAGAAGACGAAGAUGAAGAUUUUUCGAAGAAGAUGGUUCUUGUGGGAUUGUCAUGUAUUCAAGCAUGUCCAUCAGAUCGUCCAUCGAUGAACAGAGUUGUUGAGAUGAUGGAGGGAAGCUUAAGUGCUCUUGAAGCUCCUCCUAAGUAUCUUUUGCAUAUAUCUGCAUCCCCUAUGCCUCCAUCUUCUUGCCCUGAAGAAGAGAACUCAAUCUCCUCUGAAGAAAGUGUAUAAGUUUCAUGUCAAAUAUAUGUCUUAGUCAAACUGUUAUAUGCCUAAAGAAAAAGAUGUGCACAUCCAGUGGCGGAUCUGGAAUCAAUUUCUAAUGGGGUCAAUAUAUGAUACAAAGAAAAAAUGAGGAAUUUAAACAUAUUUUAAUGGGGUCAAUAUAAAGAAUUUAAGAAUUUUAAUGGGUUCAAUAUAAAGAAUUUAAGAAUAUUUUCUAAUUUACUCUUAAUUUUUAAUAGCAAAUAUGUUAAAAUUCAAAAGUUGUUGGGGUCAAAUGACACCACUACCACCAACGUACGUCCGCCACUGUGCACAUCCUUCUGUGUAACUCUUGUAUUAGAGAUCUCUUAAACCGUAAAUGGCUAAACCAUCAAAUUAUGCAUAAUGGUCGUUUUACUUGCCAAAUCUGUCAAAUUAUAUUUGUGUAGAUGAGAUUAUUGCGUUAAUAUUUUGUUAUAUACGCCUAAAUAUGACCAAGUCUUUUUAAUAUUUUGCUGGCCGUGUAGUAGACGUUUUACAUAUAGUUGGGGUCACUUGUGACUUGUGAGAGCCGUGUAGUAGACGUUUAUUAAUUUUCCCAUUCACACUCUCAUUUCCACUAAAAAAUAAAAAAUCAUUUUAUAAUUGAGUUCGUAAAAGUUUUUCUUAUCUAGCUAUCUUUUUUUCUGUUUUUGCAUCCUCUUCUUAGUUUUUCAUUUCAAAAAAAAAAAAAAAAAAAACAGAGGAGCACACCAUGACCAAUCUUUCUCUGCCUCUUACAAAACAUUGGUCCUAUACAAUCAUAUGGAUGCUCUAUGUGAUCCCCUCUUGUGUUUUGUCAGUUGAUUACAAUCGCUGCGGUCAUGCGUUUAGCUGUGGUUAUCAUAUGGAUCUCUAUUAUCCCUUUUGGACACCUGAGAGAAAAGAGUGCGGUCACCCGGAUUUCAAGGUCAACUGCACCGGAGAUUUCGCAGAGUUUAGUAUAUCCACCGUUAAGUUCCGAAUCCUUGAGAUGAACUUCGAGUCUCAUAUCAUACGACUAGCCAUAACGAAUUAUCUCAACUAUCUUUGUAAUCCGAAUCCUGAGAAUGCAACAAUCAACCAAGAUGUUCUUCCGUUUUCUAACGACACCAAGCUGUCAACUUUUUACUACGACACCAAGCUGUCAACUUUUUACUACGACUGCCCUUAUCCAAAGGUAGAGGUUCAACCCAAUGAUGACAUUAGACAGCUUAACUGUAAGGUACAAAUUGGUAGUCGAAGUUACUUUGUCUCGUCACAUUCUGGGGAUAGUGCUAUUUUAGGUCGGUUAAAUGCAUCUUGUGAAAGAAACUUCGGUAUUCCAGUAUCUCAAUCUGCCUUGAAGACAGCAGAGAAAACUCAGAGUCUGGAGGAUGUUUUUAAUGAGGGAUUUGAACUUAGCUUUAACAGUGAGUGUUCCCGAUGUGUAACAUCAGGAGGCGCUUGUGGCUGGAGCUCGACAAAAUUCGUCUGCUAUUGUAAAGAUAAGCCUCGCGAGCAUACAUGCUAUCCCAGAAAGAAGAGUAAUGAUUUCUCUUGCUCUGUUUGUUUGAAAAUUUCAACUAGCUUAAGUUAAUAUGAAUCUCAAUUUGUGUCUGAAUUUGAUUUGCUAAUCUUCUUCCAUACGAACCAAAUCUUUUCCUUUCCUCUUCAAGCUUUGUUUGUUAUGUCUUGAAUUUUAACUGACAUUUCUCAUGGUCUUCUUUCAUGCAGGUCUUUCCAAAAAAGCGAAAAUAGGUAGGUGUCUAUUAAUUUUUUCCUUUCAAGGAAACUAAUUUCAGUUUAACAUACCUAUGUAACAGCAUAAUCUUAUGGAUCUCUUGUCUCUUUGUUCGUCUCGAGGCAUCGGAUUUGCUUGUGGAUUUAUGGGGGCCACUCUUAUCUCAGGAUGUUUGCUCUGUUUCAUGAUCCGAAAGAGAAGAACUUCCUAUCAUCCAAGACACCAAAACCUUAAGGGGCUAGUAGAAAUGAAACAGUACAGUUAUGCAGAAGUGAAGAAAAUUACAAAAUCAUUUUCACACACGGUUGGGAAAGGAGGAUUCGGAACUGUCUAUGGAGGGUACCUCUUCGAUGGUCGUAAGGUAGCGGUGAAAAUCUUGAAGGACGACUUUAAGAGCAAUGGUGAAGACUUCAUCAAUGAAAUCACAAGCAUGAGCCAAACAUCUCAUGUUAACAUUGUUUCCUUGCUUGGUUUUUGCUAUGAUGGGUCCAAAAGAGCAAUUAUGUAUGAGUUUCUAGAGAAUGGGUCACUGGAUCAGUUCAUCUCUAAAAAGUGUUCAUUAAAUCUAGAUGUGAAUACACUAUACAGAGUUGCGCUAGGUGUUGCCCGGGGACUUGAUUACUUGCACCAUGGCUGCAGAAAAAGGAUAGUGCAUUUUGACAUCAAACCUCAAAAUGUGCUGUUAGAUGAAAAUCUAUGCCCUAAAGUCUCAGACUUUGGCCUCGCUAAGCUCUGCGAAAAAAGAGAAAGCAUAUUGUCCUUGAUAGACGCAAGAGGAACAAUAGGUUACAUUGCACCUGAGGUUUUUUCAGGAAUGUAUGGAAGAGUCUCUCACAAGUCCGAUGUUUACAGCUAUGGAAUGUUAGUCCUCGAGAUG
This 10514-nucleotide long non-coding RNA is filed under the name Arabidopsis lyrata. Its description in RNAcentral is "long non-coding RNA (ALYR_LNC001117)". Lineage: Eukaryota; Viridiplantae; Streptophyta; Magnoliopsida; Brassicales; Brassicaceae. The record is from RNAcentral.